This 429-nucleotide ribosomal RNA is filed under the name Pseudomonadota bacterium. Its description in RNAcentral is "Proteobacteria bacterium partial 16S ribosomal RNA". It matches the Rfam family "Bacterial small subunit ribosomal RNA", at positions 355 to 776 of the family's 1533-position model. Lineage: Bacteria; Pseudomonadati; Pseudomonadota. The record is from RNAcentral.
UGGGGAAUAUUGGACAAUGGGCGAAAGCCUGAUCCAGCCAUGCCGCGUGUGUGAAGAAGGUCUUCGGAUUGUAAAGCACUUUAAGUUGGGAGGAAGGGCAGUAAGCGAAUACCUUGCUGUUUUGACGUUACCGAAAGAAUAAGCACCGGCUAACGCUGUGCCAGCAGCCGCGGGAAUACAGAGGGUGCAAGCGUUAAUCGGAAUUACUGGGCGUAAAGCGCGCGUAGGUGGUUCGUUAAGUUGAAUGUGAAAGCCCCGGGCUCAACCUGGGAACUGCAUCCAAAACUGGCGAGCUAGAGUAGGGCAGAGGGUGGUGGAAUUUCCUGUGUAGCGGUGAAAUGCGUAGAUAUAGGAAGGAACACCAGUGGCGAAGGCGACCACCUGGGCUCAUACUGACACUGAGGUGCGAAAGCGUGGGGAGCAAACAGG